Camellia sinensis is the source of this 447-nucleotide non-coding RNA. NCBI's taxonomy places the organism in Eukaryota, Viridiplantae, Streptophyta, Magnoliopsida, Ericales, Theaceae. The record is from RefSeq and is a predicted model, not a curated record.
UUCAAUCAAAGAAACAUGAAAAUUUCAGGGUUAUUUUAGUUGUUUUCAAGGUGUGAUGUGAAUAUAUUGUGGUAUUGAAUAAAUUUGGCCCUUUUAAAGUUUUUUAAGUUGUCCUUUUCAUUCUUUUUAUUUGUAAUAAUCUGAAAAAUGUAAUUUAACUUUGUUUUAGUGUGUAUUGUUUGCUCUGUUUUGGUUUUAGUUGGUGAAAUUUGUCCUCAGCUUAAGAAGGUCUUGAUGGAAUUGGUUUGGGAAAAGUUUCAUUUGAAGUUAGAGUUUUGAAUUGGUUUCAUCUAAGUACUUUUUAACUGUUGACAAUGUAAUGUUCAAGACACUUCCUUGCUAUUUUUCAACUGCAAGCCUCUGGAACUGUGUGCCAAGGUGAAUCAUCACCAUUGAUUUUUAUUGUGGAAAUCUUGAGAUGAUUUUUGGAUCUUAAUGCUUGAGAUU